AUACUGCGCAAUGGAGGGAACUCUGACGCAGCGACGCUGCGUGAGCGAUGAAGGUUUUCGGAUCGUAAAGCUCUGUCCUUGGGGAAGAAGGCGGCCAUGCUUGGCUACUUGACGUUACCCAAGGAGGAAGCUCCGGCGAACUUCGUGCCAGCAGCCGCGGUAAUACGUAGGGGGCAAGCGGUGUCAGGAAUUAUUGGGCGUAAAGGGUGGGUAGGCGGCCUUUUAAGUAUGAUGUGAAAUCUCGUAGCUUAACUACGAGCGAUCAUUGGAGACUGGAAGACUUGAGGACAGAAGAGGAGAGUGGAAUUCCACGUGUAGCGGUGAAAUGCGUAGAGAUGUGGAGGAACACCAGUGGCGAAGGCGACUCUCUGGUCUGUAACUGACGCUGAGGCGCGAAAGCGUGGGGAGCGAACA
This 414-nucleotide ribosomal RNA is filed under the name uncultured bacterium. RNAcentral's name for it is "partial 16S ribosomal RNA". It matches the Rfam family "Bacterial small subunit ribosomal RNA", at positions 361 to 774 of the family's 1533-position model. The record is from RNAcentral.